Molecule: ribosomal RNA, 460 nt
Filed under: uncultured bacterium
Lineage: Bacteria
Description: partial 16S ribosomal RNA
Rfam family: Bacterial small subunit ribosomal RNA
Source: RNAcentral
CCUACGGGAGGCAGCAGUGAGGAAUAUUGGUCAAUGGACGCAAGUCUGAACCAGCCAUGCCGCGUGCAGGAAGACGGCUCUAUGAGUUGUAAACUGCUUUUGUACGAGGGUAAACGCAGAUACGCGUAUCUGUCUGAAAGUAUCGUACGAAUAAGGAUCGGCUAACUCCGUGCCAGCAGCCGCGGUAAUGCGGAGGAUUCAAGCGUUAUCCGGAUUUAUUGGGUUUAAAGGGUGCGUAGGCGGUCGGAUAAGUUAGAGGUGAAAUCCCGAGGCUCAACUUCGGAAUUGCCUCUGAUACUGUUCGGCUUGAGAGUAGUUGCGGUAGGCGGAAUGUAUGGUGUAGCGGUGAGAUGCUUAGAGAUCAUACAGAACACCGAUUGCGAAGGCAGCUUACCAAGCUACUUCUGACGUUGAGGCACGAAAGCGUGGGGAGCAAACAGGAUUAGAUACCCGGGUAGUC